GACAGUCUCAGUUCGGAUUGAAGGCUGAAAUUCGCCUUCCAUGAAGCCGGAAUUGCUAGCAAUGGCAGGUCAGCAUACUGCCGUGAAUACGUUCCCGGGCCUUGUACACACCGCCCGUCACACCAUGAGAGUUGGGGAUACCCGAAGCCUGUGAGCUAACUUUUAGAGGCAGCAGUCGAAGGUAGAAUCAAUGAUUGGGGUGAAGUCGUAACAAGGUAGC
RNAcentral lists this ribosomal RNA (220 nucleotides) under uncultured bacterium. RNAcentral describes it as "partial 16S ribosomal RNA". It matches the Rfam family "Bacterial small subunit ribosomal RNA", at positions 1281 to 1500 of the family's 1533-position model. The record is from RNAcentral.